This is a non-coding RNA of Multifurca ochricompacta, 84 nucleotides long. The record is from the annotation of a GenBank genome assembly. NCBI's taxonomy places the organism in Eukaryota, Fungi, Basidiomycota, Agaricomycetes, Russulales, Russulaceae.
GGCGCUAUAGUGUAGUGGCUAUCACAACGGAUUCUGAUUUCUGAUAACUUUCCGUUAACCCAGGUUCGAACCCUGGUAGCGCCU